AGUGAACGCUGGCGGUAGGCCUAACACGUGCAAGUCGAACGGCAGCACAGAGGAGCUUGCUCCUUGGGUGGCGAGUGGCGGACGUGUGAGGAAUACAUCGGAAUCUACUCUGUCGUGGGGGAUAACGUAGGGAAACUUACGCUAAUACCGCAUACGACCUACGGUUGAAAGCAGGGGAUCUUCGGACCUUGCGCGAUUGAAUGAGCCGAUGUCGGAUUAGCUAGUUGGCGGGGUAAAGGCCCACCAAGGCGACGAUCCGUAGCUGGUCUGAGAGGAUGAUCAGCCACACCGGAACUGAGACACGGUCCAGACUCCUACGGGAGGCAGCAGUGGGGAAUAUUGGACAAUGGGCGCAAGCCUGAUCCAGCCAUACCGCGUGGGUGAAGAAGGCCUUCGGGUUGUAAAGCCCUUUUGUUGGGAAAGAAAUCCAUCUGGUUAAUACCCGGGUGGGAUGACGGUACCCAAAGAAUAAGCACCGGCUAACUUCGUGCCAGCCGCCGCUGUAA
Molecule: ribosomal RNA, 506 nt
Filed under: uncultured bacterium
Lineage: Bacteria
Description: partial 16S ribosomal RNA
Rfam family: Bacterial small subunit ribosomal RNA
Source: RNAcentral